This 257-nucleotide unclassified non-coding RNA is filed under the name Hevea brasiliensis (rubber tree). The record is from RNAcentral. Lineage: Eukaryota; Viridiplantae; Streptophyta; Magnoliopsida; Malpighiales; Euphorbiaceae.
CUGGCUAAUUAUGGUUUUCAGCUCAUAAUAGAAUUUUCAAAGCCCUCCCCAGCGACCAUUUUCAUUCAUAUUGAGCAACAUUAUUGGCAUCGCUAUGCCUGAAAGGUGUAGGUUAGUUUUUGGAAAUGUUAGCCNAAUUAUCAAAACAAAAACGCUCCUCUGCCAGUCAUAUCUUUGCAAAAUUUAUCUAAAACUAAAUAAACAUACAAACGCACCAGAUUCUGAAUUACCUCUGAUUUGAAUAGUCUGAUUGACAU